RNAcentral lists this ribosomal RNA (800 nucleotides) under uncultured bacterium. RNAcentral describes it as "bacterial SSU rRNA". It matches the Rfam family "Bacterial small subunit ribosomal RNA", at positions 56 to 854 of the family's 1533-position model. The record is from RNAcentral.
UGCAAGUCGAGCGAAGCACUUACUUUAGAUUUCUUCGGAAUGACGAAGUUUGUGACUGAGCGGCGGACGGGUGAGUAACGCGUGGGCAACCUGCCCUGUACAGGGGGAUAACAGUUAGAAAUGACUGCUAAUACCGCAUAAGCCCACAGCUUCGCAUGAAGCAGUGGGAAAAACUCCGGUGGUACAGGAUGGGCCCGCGUCUGAUUAGCUAGUUGGUAAGGUAACGGCUUACCAAGGCGACGAUCAGUAGCCGACCUGAGAGGGUGACCGGCCACAUUGGGACUGAGACACGGCCCAAACUCCUACGGGAGGCAGCAGUGGGGAAUAUUGCACAAUGGGGGAAACCCUGAUGCAGCGACGCCGCGUGAGCGAUGAAGUAUUUCGGUAUGUAAAGCUCUAUCAGCAGGGAAGAAAGUGACGGUACCUGACUAAGAAGCCCCGGCUAACUACGUGCCAGCAGCCGCGGUAAUACGUAGGGGGCAAGCGUUAUCCGGAUUUACUGGGUGUAAAGGGAGCGUAGACGGAAGUGCAAGUCUGAAGUGAAAGCCCGGGGCUCAACCCCGGGACUGCUUUGGAAACUGUAUUUCUAGAGUGCUGGAGAGGUAAGUGGAAUUCCUAGUGUGGCGGUGAAAUGCGUAGAUAUUAGGAGGAACACCAGUGGCGAAGGCGGCUUACUGGACAGUGACUGACGUUGAGGCUCGAAAGCGUGGGGAGCAAACAGGAUUAGAUACCCUGGUAGUCCACGCCGUAAACGAUGACUACUAGGUGUCGGUGAGCAAAGCUCAUCGGUGCCGCAGCAA